UGGAGAGGUGGCCGAGCGGUUGAAGGCGCGACACUGGAAAUGUCGUUUAGGGGUGACUCUAACGAGGGUUCGAAUCCCUCCCUCUCCGU
RNAcentral lists this transfer RNA (89 nucleotides) under Planktothrix pseudagardhii. RNAcentral's name for it is "tRNA-Ser". It matches the Rfam family "tRNA". From Rfam's summary of the family: Transfer RNA (tRNA) molecules are approximately 80 nucleotides in length. Their secondary structure includes four short double-helical elements and three loops (D, anti-codon, and T loops). Lineage: Bacteria; Bacillati; Cyanobacteriota; Cyanophyceae; Oscillatoriales; Microcoleaceae. RNAcentral also lists the same sequence under 1 other name. The record is from RNAcentral.